Long non-coding RNA from Clupea harengus (Atlantic herring), 1551 nucleotides. Lineage: Eukaryota; Metazoa; Chordata; Actinopteri; Clupeiformes; Clupeidae. The record is from Ensembl.
AGUACCCUAUGUAUGUUCUCUACACAAAAUGAUUUGUGUGUCUGUUGUAUCUAUGAUGUGAGUAUUCUGCGGCACCUUAAGUGUGUUAAAUGAUGACCCUUGUCUGAUUUUGUGCACUAAAUGUAUAUUGACUGCUAAAAAAGGAAUUAUAUUUUGAGUGGGUUGAAGUAAAAGAAAGAGAGAAUGUGUACACUGUCAUUUCAUACUGAUUUAACCACAAAGAAUUCCAAUCUGAAUUCAGAGUUAUCAUAGUAUGAUUCAAGUUGCAAAUAGAAUAAAUAAAUAAAGACAUAGAAGUAGGCAGUAAGUAGUCGUAGUGGUUUGGUAGUACGUGCCAUUUCACACUCCAGUUGUACAUGUUGUGAAAGUGUCAAAUCAUUUCUAGAGUUCAUCUUAUCCUCCCAUCACUAAAGCAUGUUGUUGCAACCACCUGAUAAAAUGGGGUAACAUUUAGACAUUCAGCAUAAGAGUAGCCGACCAUGGAAUGUAUCAGGUCUUGACCUGGCAUGGAGCUGGCUUUUAUACCUCUUAGGAGUUUCAUUGAGGCCAGUCAUGUAGUGCAAACACCUUCAGAUCACAUCAUUAGUAUCUCCUUAGUAACGUCCGCCGCUGCCUUGGAGAAUGGACAAGGACAUCCUUUUUGAGGGCCUCUCGGCACUGGUCGGGGUCACCGUCAAGCCCCAGUCUGCAGCACCCCCUCCUCUUCUCAGGAGCUUUUCCGCUAGCCAGGCUCAUCCCGACAUACUCAGUGUGCAGGACCUGCUCACGGCAGUCUACUUUGACCAGGAGUUCUGGCAAGAUGUGAACUUCCGGAGGGUCGGCCUGCGCUCCAUGCCAGCCGUCCGCAGCGAUCUCUUUGUGAAUGACCAGCAUUUCUUUGACCCAGCGUGGGACUACGACUUCACCAACAUCUACGACACCACAACGUUCAUGAGGGGGAAUGAGGUGUACAAACGGCCCUGCGGGUGGAAGCGGUUCGCCCUCAAGGUUCUGGGGAAGUACCCCGACGGCAAUGCCUGGCUGGGCAAUGCAGGGUACCGCACCUACUCUGACCCGAACGAGUGGCCCGUGACCUAUCAUGGCACCUCUCUACCUGGAGCCCAUGGCAUCAUCAGCACCCACUACCUACCAGGCAGUGGGCAGACAUAUGGCAGGGGUAUCUACUCGACUCCUGAUGUGAAAGUGGCAGAAACGCACGGCUACGUCAAGACCUUCGUCUCCCAGAAGAAUGGGAAGACCUACAAAGUGUGCCUGCAGAACAGGAUCAACCAGAGAGUCAGGCAGGUUUGUGCCCGCCCAGAGUACUGGCUCGUGCCCAUCCCUGCAGGCACACCAGCCGAGUCAGAGAAGAAUAUCGUACUGGGCGCUAUUCGUCCAUACAGUCUCCUCCUGAAGGAAGCAUAAAAAUUGCCUGAUCAAAGUUCUCAUUUGCAGUUACAUAAAAUAAUUCCUAAAAUGUUGUCUCAGUCAACACACUCAGUGCAGUCAUUCAUUUCAUGUGUUAAUGUCAGGGCUCUGUGCUAAAAUGAAUAAAUGGCUUGAAAGUACAAA